GGCUUCACAGCUCAGUUGGUAGAGCAUCACACUAGUAACGCGGAGGUCAUGGGUUCAAAUCCCGUUGUAGUCU
RNAcentral lists this transfer RNA (73 nucleotides) under Desmophyllum pertusum. Its description in RNAcentral is "Lophelia pertusa tRNA". It matches the Rfam family "tRNA". Rfam says of the family: Transfer RNA (tRNA) molecules are approximately 80 nucleotides in length. Their secondary structure includes four short double-helical elements and three loops (D, anti-codon, and T loops). The record is from Rfam by way of RNAcentral. Lineage: Eukaryota; Metazoa; Cnidaria; Anthozoa; Scleractinia; Caryophylliidae.